AUGAUUAGAGGCCCAGUGACUUGCAAGAAAUGCGGUGAAAAGGGUUAUAGGCAAGCUAGUUACAAGUGCCCACUGAACGGAACCAAAAAAAGUUGCAGGAAGAGGAAGCCUAGAAAGAACGUUACAAAAGCUAGGACAGCUGAACCUAGCACUCCGCAAAGGCCAACUAGAGAACAAAUACUACAAGACAGCCCAGGCAUGGUCACUAGAAGCCGCCUUGCUUUCUUGCUAGGAGAAAGUACUUCACAAGCCACAACAAGUACUCCAGAGAGGAUGUGA
RNAcentral lists this ribosomal RNA (279 nucleotides) under Triticum aestivum (bread wheat). Its description in RNAcentral is "partial small subunit ribosomal RNA". Lineage: Eukaryota; Viridiplantae; Streptophyta; Magnoliopsida; Poales; Poaceae. The record is from RNAcentral.